GGGGAAUAUUGGACAAUGGGGGCAACCCUGAUCCAGCAAUGCCGCGUGUGUGAAGAAGGUCUUCGGAUUGUAAAGCACUUUCGACGGGGACGAUGAUGACGGUACCCGUAGAAGAAGCCCCGGCUAACUUCGUGCCAGCAGCCGCGGUAAUACGAAGGGGGCUAGCGUUGCUCGGAAUGACUGGGCGUAAAGGGCGUGUAGGCGGUUUACACAGUCAGAUGUGAAAUCCCCGGGCUUAACCUGGGAGCUGCAUUUGAUACGUGUAGACUAGAGUGUGAGAGAGGGUUGUGGAAUUCCCAGUGUAGAGGUGAAAUUCGUAGAUAUUGGGAAGAACACCGGUGGCGAAGGCGGCAACCUGGCUCAUGACUGACGCUGAGGCGCGAAAGCGUGGGGAGCAAACAGGAUUAGAUACCCUGGUAGUCCACGCUGUAAACGAUGUGUGCUAGAUGUUGGGUAACUUUGUUAUUCAGUGUCGCAGUUAACGCGUUAAGCACACCGCCUGGGGGAGUACGGGCCGCAAG
This 521-nucleotide ribosomal RNA is filed under the name uncultured bacterium. Its description in RNAcentral is "partial 16S ribosomal RNA". It matches the Rfam family "Bacterial small subunit ribosomal RNA", at positions 356 to 892 of the family's 1533-position model. The record is from RNAcentral.